RNAcentral lists this ribosomal RNA (728 nucleotides) under uncultured bacterium. Its description in RNAcentral is "bacterial SSU rRNA". It matches the Rfam family "Bacterial small subunit ribosomal RNA", at positions 773 to 1501 of the family's 1533-position model. The record is from RNAcentral.
CAGGAUUAGAUACCCUGGUAGUCCACGCCGUAAACGAUGUCGACUUGGAGGUUGUGCCCUUGAGGCGUGGCUUCCGGAGCUAACGCGUUAAGUCGACCGCCUGGGGAGUACGGCCGCAAGGUUAAAACUCAAAUGAAUUGACGGGGGCCCGCACAAGCGGUGGAGCAUGUGGUUUAAUUCGAUGCAACGCGAAGAACCUUACCUGGUCUUGACAUCCACGGAAGUUUUCAGAGAUGAGAAUGUGCCUUCGGGAACCGUGAGACAGGUGCUGCAUGGCUGUCGUCAGCUCGUGUUGUGAAAUGUUGGGUUAAGUCCCGCAACGAGCGCAACCCUUAUCCUUUGUUGCCAGCGGUCCGGCCGGGAACUCAAAGGAGACUGCCAGUGAUAAACUGGAGGAAGGUGGGGAUGACGUCAAGUCAUCAUGGCCCUUACGACCAGGGCUACACACGUGCUACAAUGGCGCAUACAAAGAGAAGCGACCUCGCGAGAGCAAGCGGACCUCAUAAAGUGCGUCGUAGUCCGGAUUGGAGUCUGCAACUCGACUCCAUGAAGUCGGAAUCGCUAGUAAUCGUGGAUCAGAAUGCCACGGUGAAUACGUUCCCGGGCCUUGUGCACACCGCCCGUCACACCAUGGGAGUGGGUUGCAAAGGAAGUAGGUAGCUUAACCUUCGGGAGGGCGCUUACCACUUUGUGAUUCAUGACUGGGGUGAAGUCGUAACAAGGUAACC